RNAcentral lists this transfer RNA (76 nucleotides) under Hydrocarboniphaga effusa AP103. RNAcentral describes it as "tRNA-Thr". It matches the Rfam family "tRNA". From Rfam's summary of the family: Transfer RNA (tRNA) molecules are approximately 80 nucleotides in length. The record is from RNAcentral. Lineage: Bacteria; Pseudomonadati; Pseudomonadota; Gammaproteobacteria; Nevskiales; Nevskiaceae. RNAcentral also lists the same sequence under 2 other names.
GCCCCCGUAGCUCAGUCGGUAGAGCACACCCUUGGUAAGGGUGAGGUCGGAGGUUCGAUUCCUCUCGUGGGCACCA